GCUUUGAAGUAGACUUACGUCGGAUUGCAAAUCCGAAAUCGGAGGUUAAACCCUCCCCAAGCUUU
Molecule: transfer RNA, 65 nt
Filed under: Squatina japonica (Japanese angelshark)
Lineage: Eukaryota; Metazoa; Chordata; Chondrichthyes; Squatinidae
Description: tRNA-Cys
Rfam family: tRNA
About the family: Transfer RNA (tRNA) molecules are approximately 80 nucleotides in length. Their secondary structure includes four short double-helical elements and three loops (D, anti-codon, and T loops). Further hydrogen bonds mediate the characteristic L-shaped molecular structure. tRNAs have two regions of fundamental functional importance: the anti-codon, which is responsible for specific mRNA codon recognition, and the 3' end, to which the tRNAs corresponding amino acid is attached (by aminoacyl-tRNA synthetases). tRNAs cope with the degeneracy of the genetic code in two manners: having more than one tRNA (with a specific anti-codon) for a particular amino acid; and 'wobble' base-pairing, i.e. permitting non-standard base-pairing at the 3rd anti-codon position.
Source: RNAcentral